GGAAGGCUGGCAUUGGACGGACGUCUCGCCAACCCGGUCAGGUCGGGAACGAAGCAGCCGUAACGAGUAUUGUUCGGGUCAGUGUUCAGCUUUCCACU
Molecule: signal recognition particle RNA, 98 nt
Filed under: Hellea balneolensis
Lineage: Bacteria; Pseudomonadati; Pseudomonadota; Alphaproteobacteria; Maricaulales; Robiginitomaculaceae
Description: signal recognition particle sRNA small type
Rfam family: Bacterial small signal recognition particle RNA
About the family: The signal recognition particle (SRP) is a universally conserved ribonucleoprotein involved in the co-translational targeting of proteins to membranes. Archaeal SRP consists of a 7S RNA and homologues of the eukaryotic SRP19 and SRP54 proteins.
Source: RNAcentral